RNAcentral lists this ribosomal RNA (109 nucleotides) under uncultured bacterium. RNAcentral's name for it is "partial 16S ribosomal RNA". It matches the Rfam family "Bacterial small subunit ribosomal RNA", at positions 246 to 354 of the family's 1533-position model. The record is from RNAcentral.
UAGUUGGUAAGGUAACGGCUUACCAAGGCAAUGAUGCAUAGCCGAGUUGAGAGACUGAUCGGCCACAUUGGGACUGAGACACGGCCCAAACUCCUACGGAAGGCAGCAG